RNAcentral lists this unclassified non-coding RNA (261 nucleotides) under Hevea brasiliensis (rubber tree). The record is from RNAcentral. Lineage: Eukaryota; Viridiplantae; Streptophyta; Magnoliopsida; Malpighiales; Euphorbiaceae.
GUUGAUAGGUAUUGUGAAGGAGCUAGUGGAAGAGUCCGAGAAGACUGUUACUAAGGUUGGCCAAUAUGGUCGACCAUUCUCUGCUGCUGAUGAACGGGGUUGUGUACGCUGGAAGAUUGGUGAAGAUGAAUUAUCAGUGGUGUUAUAUCUGAUUGAUGCUUGUGAUGAAUUAGUUUUGGCAGCCAGGUUCCUUUUGUGGUUGUUACCUAAGGUUCUUGGCAGCUGCAGCGCUACAGUUCAUGGUAGUAGAAACAUUCUAAC